RNAcentral lists this long non-coding RNA (3682 nucleotides) under Theobroma cacao (cacao). RNAcentral describes it as "long non-coding RNA (TCAC_LNC002801)". The record is from RNAcentral. Lineage: Eukaryota; Viridiplantae; Streptophyta; Magnoliopsida; Malvales; Malvaceae.
AAACACACUGAGACGGUUAACAAAAUUACAAAUCACUGUUGAAAGUUGAAACCACCACCUCUCGAUGCUUACUCAAGUAGUUACUGCAGUCAUAGAACUGGUCAGUAACUCUAACUUCCUUUUUGGAUAAAUGUAUAGCUUUAAAUCUAUUAUUAAUAACAGUUUGAUUUAAGAGGUAGAAUUGUAGCCAAUUUUAAUUGCAUUAAUUUUAACUCAAUCUUUUCCACUUUUAUCUAAACGGAUGCUCCAAAACAAGUGCUUUAAAAAAAGUAACAAGUCAAAAAAGAAAUCUAUUUGAGUAGGUACAUCCUCCGUUAAUUUUGGAUGGUAAUUCUUUUAAUUCAAUCAAUGUCAUAUUAGGAAGUUGAGUAGUAAAAAACCAAUUAUUCCAUAUAGUACAAUCUAUACCCUUCACCCUCACAAAUAAUCAAUUAUGGAUAAAUUCAUUCUUAUUUAAUUUUCUUAAUAACUUUUUCACCAAAAUUACAAUAUCUCAUUUAAUAAUCACAAAAAUAUAUAUUAGUGCUUAAAAUUGUUAUAACUAAGAAGAAAAAUCUUUAAUAAUCACAAAAGUAUUUGGUCUAAUGAUUUUUACCAUAUCUCAUUUGACAAUGUAUAUUUCAAUUUUAUGACAUUUUACUUUUAUUUUUAUAAAUUUACAUCAAGAUUUUUAAAUGGUUAAUUUUCAUUACAAGUGUUUUUAUUUUUAUGUUUACACAUUUAUAAAUUAAAAUUUUAAAUGAUUAAAAUUUUUACUUCAAAAAUAUAAAUAUAAUUUGAAUUAAGGAUGUGCCAUAUUUUAUGUUAAUUUUUAUACAUUUUCAUUAAUAAUAAAUAUAAUGUUAACAUAUAUAUUCGAAUUAAACAUAUGUGAUAUUUUAUAUUAAUUCUUUUACAUUUAUGUUAAUAAUAUAUAAAUUUGAAUUACACAUAUGUGAUAUUUUAUGUUAAUUUUUAUUCAUUUAAGUUAAUAAUUUAUAAAUCCAAUUUAAACAUAUGUGAUAUUUAACGUUAAUUCUUAUAUAUUUAAGUUAGUAAUAUAUAAAUUUGAAUUAAGGAUAUGUGAUAGUUAAGGUUAAUUCUUAUACAUUUACAUUAAUAAUAUGUAAAUUCGAAUUAAGUAUAUGUGAUAUUUUAUAUUAAUUCUUAUACAUUUAUGUUAAUAAUAUAUAAAUUUAAAUUACACAUAUGUGAUAUUUUAUGUUAAUUCUUAUACAUUUAAGUUAAUAAUUUAUAAAUUUAAAUUAAGCGUAUGUGACAUUUAACGUUAAUUCUUAUAUAUUUACGUUAAUAAUAUAUAAAUCUGAAGUAAGAAUAUACAAAAUUUAAUGGUAAUUCUUAUACAUUUAUGCUAAUAAUUUAUAAAUUUGAAUUAAGUGUAUGUGGUUUUUUAUAUUAAUUCUUAUGCAUAUAUGUUAAUAAUAUAUAAAUUUAAAUUAUGCAGAUGUGAUAGUUUAUGUUCAUUCUUAUACAUUUAGGUUAGUGAUAUAUAAAUUUAAAUUAAGCAUAUGUGUUUUUUAAUGUUAAUUAUUUUACAUUUAUGAUAAUAAUAAUAUAUAAAUUCAAAUUAAACAUAUGUGAUAUUUAAUGUUAAUUCUUAUACAUUUAUAUUGAUAAUAUUAUAUAGAUUCAAAUUAAGGAUAUGUGAUUUUAAUGUUAAUUCUUAUACAUUUAUGUUAAUAAUGUAUAAAUUUGAAUUAAACAUAUAUGAUAUUUAACGUUAAUUAUUAUAUAUUUAUGUUAAUAAUAUAUAAAUUUAAAUUACACAUAUGUGGUAUUUUAUGUUAAUUUUUAUACAUUUAGAUUAAUAAUUUAUAAAUUCAAAUUAAGGGUAUGUGAUAUUUAACAUUAAUUUUUUUACAUUUACGUUAAUAAUUUAUAAAUUUGAAUUAAACAUUAAUUGCAAUACAUUUACAUUAAUAAUAUAUAAAUUUAAAUUACGCAUAUGUGAUAGUUUAUGUUAAUUCUUAUACAUUUAGGUUAAUAAUAUAUAAACUCAAUCUAAACAUAGAUGUUAUUUACUGUUAAUUUUGCACAUUUAUGUUAACAAUAUGUAAAUUCAAAAUAAAUAUAUGUGAUAUUUAAUGUUAAUUCUUAAACAUUUUUGUUAGUAAUAUAUAAAUUCAAAUUAAGGAUAUGCGAUAUUUAAUGUUAAUUCUUAUACAUUUACCUUAACAAUAUAUAAAUUCGAAUUAAGUAUAUGUGAUAUUUUAUAUUAAUUCUUAAUAUUUAUGUUAAUAAUAUAUAAACUUAAAUUACACAUAUGUGGUAUUUUAUUUUAAUUUUUAUAUAUUUAGAUUAAUAAUUUAUAAAUUCAAAUUAAGCGUAUGUGAUAUUUAACAUUAAUUUUUUUACAUUUACGUUAAUAAUUUAUAAUUUGAAUUAACUAUUAAUUGUGAUACAUUUACAUUAAUAAUAUAUAAAUUCGUAUUGCAUAUAUGCGAUAUUUAACGUUAAUUCUUAUAAAUUUGUGUUAGUAACUUAUAAAUUUAAAUUACGCAUAUGUGAUAGUUUAUGUUAAUUCUUAUACAUUUAGGUUAGUAAUAUGUAAAUUCAAAUUAAGCAUAUGUGAUGUUUUACGUUAAUUCUUAUACAUUAUGUUAAUAAUAUAUAAAUUCAAAUUAAGUAUAUGUGACAUUUUACGCUAAUUCUUAUACAUUUAGGUUAAUAAUAUAUAAAGCCCAAUUAAGUAGAUGUAAUAUUUUAGCUUAAUUCUUAUACAUUUAUGUUAAUAAUUUAUAAAUUUGAAUUAAUCAUAUAUGAUAAUUUAUCUUAAUUUUUAUACAUCUAAGUUAAUAAUAUACAAAGUCAAAUUAAGCGUAUGUAAUAUUUUACCUUAAAUUUUUUACAUUUAUGUUAAUGAUAUAUAAAUUCAAAAUAAGUUUAUAUGAUAUUUUGUUUAUACGAUAAGCUCAAGUUUAUGAAGGAGUCUAUUCCGAAUAUAGUCAAGUAGUUUGAGGUGAAAGGACUCCCGCUAGGGAGGAUUCUGCGUAGAGUGCCACACAAACUCGUCUGCUUCUACAUGGUAUUUCAGUUAAAUUUGAAUUGGCUAGUUGGAGGAGUUUGUCCUGAUGAGUGGGAUUUUACUAAACAGUUAAAGAUGAAUUGGAGAAGAACAUAAAUUGAGGAAUGGACAGCUUUUUUUUUUUUUUUUCCAAAGGAAAAAGGUGUAUAUAAAAUUAAAUUAUAUACAGCUUUCAAAACAACAUGGAUAAGCUGGCACAAACAUCCAAAGGAAAACCACAAGUGUUCAAGCCUGUUCUCCCAUUUAGCUCAUUAAUACAGUCGAGCUCGACCUUAAUUAAGAAGCGACUCUUGACAGCUUUAGGUCCACAAAAUUUAAAGUUCGGACAGCAGUAAUGGAGCGGACUGCAAUUACAUCUCAAUCGCAAGAGUGCUCGGGCAUUUAAUUCACCAGGAACACCUGUGAGCUUUGGACAGUUGUGACGGUGGUUUGGUUUGGACAAAGUCAAUGUGUUCCGAUAUGUGUAUUAUUUGAAGCUGAGCGUAUUCGGUGGGAUGGAAGUGGGCAUUAUAUCAUCCCGUAAUCCCCAAAGCUGGAUAUUUGCAGGAAAAUAGGGGUUAUUGAUGUUUUUAUAGGUUAUUUUAUCUACUAUCUUUUGUAAUUAUAAAGCACAAAGCUAAUUUAAGCUUUGGCAUGAAGCAAUGCCCUGCAUAACUU